RNAcentral lists this ribosomal RNA (468 nucleotides) under uncultured bacterium. RNAcentral's name for it is "partial 16S ribosomal RNA". It matches the Rfam family "Bacterial small subunit ribosomal RNA", at positions 28 to 507 of the family's 1533-position model. The record is from RNAcentral.
GACGAACGCUGGCGGCGUGCUUAACACAUGCAAGUCGAACGGAAAGGCCCUGCUUUUGUGGGGUGCUCGAGUGGCGAACGGGUGAGUAACACGUGAGUAUCCUGCCCUUGACGUUGGGAUAACUUCAGGAAACUGGGGCUAAUACCGGAUAGGAGCUCCUGCUGCAUGGGGGGGGUUGGAAAGUUUCGGCGGUUGGGGAUGUACUCGCGGGUUAUCAGCUUGUUGGGGGGGUGGUGGCUUACCAAGGCUUUGACAGGUAGCCGGCCUGAGAGGGUGACCGGCGACCUUGGGACUGAGGGACGGCCCAGACUCGUACUGUAGGCAGCAGGGGGGAAUCUUGCACAAUGGGCGGAAGCCGGAUGCAGCAGCGCCGCGUGCGGGAUGACGGCCUUCGGGUUGUAAACCGCUUUCGCCUGUGACGAAGCGUGAGUGACGGUAAUGAGUAAAGAAGCACCGGCUAACUACGUG